UUAGACGGGGCCCGACACAAGCGGUGGAGUAUGUGGUUUAAUUCGAUGCAACGCGAAGAACCUUACCUGGUCUUGACAUCCCGGAGACCCUUAGGAAACUAGGGGGUGCUUCCAUCUGGAAGAAUCUGGAGACAGGUGCUGCAUGGCUGUCGUCAGCUCGUGUCGUGAGAUGUUGGGUUAAGUCCCGCAACGAGCGCAACCCUUGCCUUUAGUUGCCAGCAGUUCGGCUGGGCACUCUAAAGGGACUGCCGGUGUUAAACCGGAGGAAGGUGGGGAUGACGUCAAGUCCUCAUGGCCUUUAUGACCAGGGCUACACACGUACUACAAUGGCCGAUACAAAGGGCAGCGACACUGCGAGGUGAAGCCAAUCCCGUAAAAUCGGUCUCAGUCCGGAUUGGAGUCUGCAACUCGACUCCAUGAAGUUGGAAUCGCUAGUAAUCGUGGAUCAGCAUGCCACGGUGAAUACGUUCCCGGGCCUU
RNAcentral lists this ribosomal RNA (479 nucleotides) under uncultured Desulfobulbus sp. Its description in RNAcentral is "bacterial SSU rRNA". It matches the Rfam family "Bacterial small subunit ribosomal RNA", at positions 916 to 1381 of the family's 1533-position model. Lineage: Bacteria; Pseudomonadati; Thermodesulfobacteriota; Desulfobulbia; Desulfobulbales; Desulfobulbaceae. The record is from RNAcentral.